Small nucleolar RNA from Ictalurus furcatus (blue catfish), 290 nucleotides. The record is from RefSeq and is a predicted model, not a curated record. Lineage: Eukaryota; Metazoa; Chordata; Actinopteri; Siluriformes; Ictaluridae.
GCCCAGUGAUGAUACCAAGGCGAAUGUGAGCUUACUGGAUGCGAGUCUGAGUUCUUCUGUGUUCCUAAUGGCUGGCAAUCUUGACAGGGCAGUGGAGAUUUGCUGCUCUGUUAUAAAGGCCAGCCUACAGUAACCGAGUCCCUCCACUCGUACUCUUCUCUAGAGUAAUGCUGGAGAGAGAGUGACGUGGCAGACAAUGUGUAUACUAGGCAUGUGUGUGAACUCUGAUAGAAUUUCAGCUCUGCUGUAUCCAGUAGCCUAUGAACUGCAUCUUUGGUAAUCUGAGGGUG